AUCCUCCGUUUGGUUCCCGAGAAAAACCUAGAAAAAAGAAAAGAAAAUAAAAGCACAGAGAAUUAAGAUUAAGCCCAAAUACCAAUUAAGGCGAGGGUUUAUAUCCAAAUUCCUAAACAAUGAAGCUUCCCUACAACACUCUAUCUCUCCUUUCCUUUCUUUUCUCACAUUUUCUCAGUUACCAAACAGAGCCAAUUAAACCUAACCCUACACUUCUCAAUGUCGAAAUCAGCUCUCUUUCUCCAAACCUAUCACACUAAUUAACUACCAAUGAGGAUCACAAACCCAUUUAACCAUUUUGGCAGAAUGUCAGCUAGCACAGCCAAUAUAGUAGUGGUGGAAGUCAUUGUGGACCUGAGGUUCUCCUUCGAAUUUGGGAUGGCAUACAUGCUACUAACUGUCUCUUCAGGUUGGAUAGCAAGUCUGUAGCUAUUCAAUAAAGAAUGAUCUUACAACCUUCAUGUAAAUUAUACUAACACAGACUGUGUGGCAUCCUUACUUGACUCAAUUAUCAAUGCGACAGUGGAUGGUUGACAUGUCAUGGGCCCCGAUGGCUCUGGCAUGGCAGUUCCGUUCGGAUUGCGUGUCGUGUUGGAAUUUAUACAUUAACUUGGUGAUUAGAAAUUUCUAACUAGUAUCAUAUUAUUAGUUUUAGCAGAUGCAAAUUACUAUAUUGGAAGAUGUUCAUUCACGUUUUGCUUUAGUACAUUAUUUAUUAUUUGAUGUAUGAUUUUGUAAACUGAGAAGUGUGGGGGUAGGAAACAAUUUUUUGGGAGAGAGAUGUAAUAGCUUAACUGCUUUUGUUUUAUUAUUAGGGUGCCUUUUUUCUGCUUUUAAAGUUAUUGGCUGGUGUGUGACAUGUUAUAAGUGAUAAAACAUUAAAUUGGAUGCAUGUCUGCCAUCUCCCAUCUCUCUUAUAUCUGUAGGCAAUAUGAACUAAGGAUUUAUUUUUCUGCAGUGGUGUGUGCAUAUAAGCAACGGAAGUAAUAUGGUUAUCCUUACAUAGAAAAGAGGUUUUGUUAUAAUAAA
Molecule: long non-coding RNA, 1029 nt
Organism: Quercus robur (English oak)
Lineage: Eukaryota; Viridiplantae; Streptophyta; Magnoliopsida; Fagales; Fagaceae
Exons: 3
Source: RefSeq, a predicted model, not a curated record